CUCUACCAUGCCACUUUGACAUGAUGAUGAUGAUGAUGGAGCUGUGCUGAUGGGCAUAGGCCAAAUUUGGCAUCCAUUGAUUUGAUCCUACGAAACAUACAUAGCCACCAGCGCUCACUCCCUUGAUCCUACUGUCAUUUUACUGUCGAGAACCAGAGAGAUGGCCUUUGCUACAACUAAUUUAUCAUCGUCUGACCUGUUCAGCCAGGUGCUUCCAGAAUUCUUUGUAAAUUCAUUGGUGAUUCGAGUCCUUAUAAAACAGAGCAGAAGAACCUCGAAUCAGAAACUGGGCAAACUUCACAAGUUGGACCCCUCUCAACUGCCAUAGGAAAGAUAUGGGAGACUACUGUUUAAGGGGAGUCAGCCUUCUAAAGUGCUGCUGUGUUUCUAUCCUCUCCCGAGGUCUGGACAGCAGAGCAUUCAAUUUUGGAGUUCCUAAACAGCAGCUUUAAAUACCCAUUAGGAAAUUACCUGUUAGUGUGGCAUUUUAGACUGCUAAGUCUAAGCUAAUAGAUUACUUUGGGAUAAUGGAUUUGAUAUUUAUAGGGGCUUCUUAAUACCCUGCUUUGAUUCUUUACCAGGGAUGAGUGAGCUUCAGGGCUCCAUCCUUGAACAGAAAGUACAGCGUGGGUGGUCUCUUGAAGGGGCUGCGGCUGACAGGCCCUCUGUCGGAGGGAGAUGGCUCAGGCUUAGAUACAAAAACAACUCUUUCUUUCGGGGAGUAAGAGAUCUGUGGGCAGAGGUAGUAUCAGCCACACAGCCACAGUGGGUGACGGAGGCACGGCAAGUCUGAUGGCCUCGAGGUGACAGGAAGAAGAAUGCCCAGGCAACCACCAGCAGGAAAAUCCAAGUACCAGACAUGAGAAACCUUCUUUCAAGAUGUUGAUCAGGGGAGUCCAAGAGACCAUGUCCAACAAUGUAGGCUAUUGCUGUUGCCUUUGGCUGCUUCCCAGAAUUAGAAGCAUCACAGGAAGAGCAUGACCCCCGGUGCCUGCUGACCCGAGGAAGAGGAGAGACUCAUGAAGCCUGGAUCACAGAGCAGCUGAGCCCAAGCACUUGGGCUGGUCCCCAGCCACUCUGUACAAGCAUAUGCAGGUCAACAUUGCUCACUAUUGUGGGUGACUGAGUUUUGUAAUGGUUUGCUAUGCAUUAUACCAUGUUACAGCUGACGGAUGCAGAGCCUUUGGAGGAGUAGAUGGUGAAAAUUCUUAAUGGGCUGUGGACAAUGCUUGCAAAAAUGUCAACUUAAUGUAAUGACAUAGAACUUAACAUGUGUAAGAACUCAAAAAAGUGUUUGUAUUUGAUGUAUUUCAAUAGAAUAAUCAUAUCUAAUGUUCAGAAUAUCUGGCCUUCUCGUUGAUAUCUUCCUCUUAGCUGACAAGUUCCUUUAUAUCCUUUCUGUAGCCCUUUCUAACAAAGUCUUACCCUUUAUUGCCCUGUCAGGAUUUGGCAUUUAUCUAAGAUUUAAUUCUAGGUUGAACUAUAAAACUACCUAGAUUCUACAGUGAACAUUUUUGAUACAUUUUUUUGGGGGCUACAUUCCUACCUAUGCACCCUGGCAAACUCAUUUUAAUUCUAAAAUUUAUAGUUAUAUUGUCAUGCAUGUAUGACAUGUAUGUAGAUGUAUUUGUGACACGUGUAUAGGAUGGAGAAAACCCCUGUGGAGUUGGAUCUCUUUUUCUACGCUCCCCCUUGGGUUCUUGUUAAACUUAUAUAGUAAGUGUCUUUACUUGCGGAGCCUUCCCAUUGGGCUCUCCCUCCAUUUUAUUGUAUUUUUUUAUAUAUAGUUAAAAAUAAAUGGCAGGUGCCAGUGCACUUCACCAACAAAUGAGCAUGCUCAUAGCUCCGCGGAGUUUUCUCAGACCCUUUCCAGUCCAUUUUACCCCUCUGCCUGAAGGCACACACUCUUCUGAUUUCUUUUCAGUCUGUUUUAGAACUUCAUCUAAUAGGACUAUGCACUGUGUGGUCCCCCUAUGACCAGCUUCUUCCUUGUCGACUAACACUUCUUUUUGUUCAUGAGUCAUCUUUGUCAGGAUCUACACAUUGAAUUUUCCCAUGAAAACUGAACAUGGUGAUGUAAAAGACCUGAGUAAUAGUCUGAUGAGCCCCUGGUCAUUACCUGUCCUCUCCUCCCAUCCAGGGCCACCAAGGAGACAAAGAUUAGGUAUUUCAAACUACUUAGGGAGAGAUUUACAAUGGCAAACAAUUAACACUGUCUGCUUGAGACUCUCUCAUGUUGGCCUCAUUCUCAAAUGAAUAAUUGAGACAAGAUCAUCCAAGGCAGCUCUUAACCUUAAAACUUGGGGCUUCUAUGAUGUGUACCCAACUACACUAAGCAACUUUAAAUAGCAUACUUGAACUAAAUGGCCCCCCAAAGCAGGCAACCCUCUUUCUUCUUUUAUGCUGUUGUUUGCCUGCCCUGUCUCUCCAUUUAGGGUUAAAAAGUCUUCCAAAACUGCAGAGAGAAUUUAUUGACAUCUAUCUCUUGGGCACAUCUAUCUCUUUUGAUUUAGUGACUUCAGGAAGAUGGAAGGCCUGACCAAGCUCUUAGGAUUAAUUGAGCUUUCCCCUGGGGAGGCUGCAUGCAGUAUGUACCCCAGGGCUCCACCAUAGUGGGAGCAAACUGACUUAGUGGGAGCAGUUGAAGAACUUGGCCGGUUGUCUUCCUUACUCUCUUCUGGUGGUCAAUCAGCAUAUAGGGUGGGGCAGGGAAUGAAGUAUAAGGUAAGUGUGACAGAUUUCAGAAGGGCUAAGUUCCAGGCUAAGUUUGCUUAACUGUUUUAGUUCUUAGACUCAACUUGAGGUUUUAAAAUUGUCCCAACUAUAAAAAUAAAAGCUACUCUCUAGAUGCCAGUCUUCAUUUCCCAGAAUCCUUCUGUCUGGGGACUUCCAGUGUCAUUGGAGAUCAGGCGACUUGUUUUAAGGGACACAAAGCUGGUUUGUGUCUAUGUUUAAAGACCAGGACAAGGGCCAGACCCCAUGACCAUUAACAAAGCUGCCAGUCUGCUUGGUCAUCCUAUGGGAUGGAGAUUUUUUCCUUCACUUGUCCUAUCUACUGAUUCCUGUCUGCAGAUCCUGUGUGGCUGCCCACCUACACCAGCAUCACAUAGCUGGACCUCCGCCUUCAGCUUCCUAUAGUUCUGGGCUAGGCAGCUUUGCUUGCCAACCUGAGCCCAGCUCACAGACAUGGUGCUGGACUUAUGGGUCUCAUCUUCCAGGCCCUGAAGUGAAGUGAAGCUUUAAGUAGAGGGCUUAUCUAAGCAGCCCUGGUCAAGGUGUGGUCCUGACCAUCACUGUUCUGUCAGGCUGACUGACAAUUGAAAGUCUCUCUGGGGGAGAGAGUUUCCCUUCUGGCUGAGCCAGCCUUCAGGGUUUCUCUUCUCCCCCAUAUGAGAUUCCUGGAGAACAUAAUCCCAGUUUCUUGGUUCCAUUGUCUUAAUAACAUAAGAGCCGAUGUGAAGGAUGUAUGUCUCCUUAGAACAGUUGUUCUCAACCUUCCUAAUGCUGGAGCCCUUUACUAUAGUUCCUCAGAAUGUGAUGACCUCCAAUUAUAAACUUAUCUUCUUUGCUCCUCCAUAACUAUAAUUUUGCUACUGUUGUGAAUCAUAGUGUAAACAUGAUAUGCAAGGUGUCUGAUAUAUCACCCCCAAAGUGGUGGUGACUCAUAGGUUGAGAACUACCUUAGAGUAUCUUCCUUCCUUAGAGUAUCUUCCUUCCUUAGAGUAUCUUCCUUCCUUAGAGUAUCUUCCUUCCUUAGGGUAUCUUCAUCCCUGCCAGGCAUUUACAGAAACAGCUGUCUACAAACUCUCACUCCUCUCAUCUUCUGUCUGGUAGUCUAGUUUGGUUCUGAGGCACACAUUUACUGGAGUGUACUCAGGGCUUCUGGGAGAGCUGGUGGAAUCCCACCUCAAAGGCAGCUCUCAGUGAACACAAGCCACUAUGGGAGGACAAAAGUCACUCGGCCCAGUCAUGCCUAUCCCUAUAGUUAAUAGGAAAUUAGCAUAUAUGUACAUGAGCUCCAGAGGAGACCAGGAUAACCUCCAAGCAGACCACAGCCCAAACUGCUGACUUAUUCCCAUAAGAUAAUAAAUGUGUAUUGUUUUGAGUCUGUGAAUUUGGGCAUGGUUUGUUACAUGGCAUUAUUGAGUUAACUGAUAACUAAGACAUGUUUUACCAAAGACAAUGUCUAGGUAGCUAAAAGAAGUUGAAUGUG
Molecule: long non-coding RNA, 4213 nt
Organism: Mus musculus (house mouse)
Lineage: Eukaryota; Metazoa; Chordata; Mammalia; Rodentia; Muridae
Product: predicted gene, 39951
Exons: 3
Source: RefSeq, a predicted model, not a curated record